This 401-nucleotide ribosomal RNA is filed under the name uncultured bacterium. Its description in RNAcentral is "partial 16S ribosomal RNA". It matches the Rfam family "Bacterial small subunit ribosomal RNA", at positions 361 to 776 of the family's 1533-position model. The record is from RNAcentral.
AUUUUGGACAAUGGGGGAAACCCUGACGCAGCAACGCCGCGUGAGUGAAGAAGGCCUUCGGGUCGUAAAACUCUGUCAUCAGGGAAGAAAAAAAUGACGGUACCUGAUGAGGAAGCCCCGGCUAACUACGUGCCAGCAGCCGCGGUAAUACGUAGGGGGCAAGCGUUGUCCGGAAUUACUGGGCGUAAAGGGUGCGUAGGCGGCCGAUUAAGUCAGAUGUGAAAUACCACGGCUCAACUGUGGGGGUGCAUUUGAAACUGGUUGGCUUGAGUGCAGGAGAGGAAAGUGGAAUUCCUAGUGUAGCGGUGAAAUGCGUAGAGAUUAGGAGGAACACCAGUGGCGAAGGCGACUUUCUGGACUGUAACUGACGCUGAGGCACGAAAGCGUGGGGAGCGAACAGG